GGAGAGGGUAGAGGAUAGGGGAUUUUCAGAGAGGAAACUUGGAAAGUUUGAAAUGUAAAUGAAGAAAACAUCUAAUUUUUAAAAAAAGAUUGUUAACAAGUUAUAAAAAAGUUGUAUGUUUAUUUACUGUCUGUUAUAUAUAUGCAAAUAUCAUUGUCAUUAUACAAGUAAACUUAAUUACUUUGAAACCUUUGUUCAAAUUUAUAGCUUUAUCUUCACAUAUUUGUAUAAUUACCGAUGCUGUAAACACUUUAAAAGAAUAUGAGUAAAUAUCAGUGUUCUGUUGGAAAAAUAAAAAAACUUUAAUCAACUUAUUGUAAACUUAAUAAAAAUAAAAGUUUUGCCUAUUUCA
Molecule: long non-coding RNA, 352 nt
Filed under: Mus caroli (Ryukyu mouse)
Lineage: Eukaryota; Metazoa; Chordata; Mammalia; Rodentia; Muridae
Description: predicted gene 29107 (MGP_CAROLIEiJ_G0004331.1)
Source: RNAcentral